This 32-nucleotide ribosomal RNA is filed under the name Elachista mollis. RNAcentral's name for it is "partial 28S rRNA". The record is from RNAcentral. RNAcentral also lists the same sequence under 2 other names. Lineage: Eukaryota; Phaeophyceae; Ectocarpales; Chordariaceae.
UUCGGACCUCCGAUCAAGCAAGAGGACCCGCU